ACACCUCAACUCUCAUGGCCUGCCCGCCGUGACGAGCUUGGACUUUGGAGGUCUUGCCGGUGUACCGUCGGCUCCUCUCAAAAGAAUCAGCUUGCCAGUGUUUGGCGGCAUCACAGGUGUGAUAACUAUCUACGCUUGUGGUUUUCCGCCAGGCAACCUCCAGUGAUGGGGGUUCGCUGGAGCUCACAAAUGUCUCUCCUAAGCGAGGACAGCUUUUUGAAC
RNAcentral lists this unclassified non-coding RNA (222 nucleotides) under uncultured Tomentella. RNAcentral's name for it is "sequence contains ITS2". Lineage: Eukaryota; Fungi; Basidiomycota; Agaricomycetes; Thelephorales; Thelephoraceae. The record is from RNAcentral.